Long non-coding RNA from Balaenoptera acutorostrata (minke whale), 9780 nucleotides. RefSeq lists it as uncharacterized. The record is from RefSeq and is a predicted model, not a curated record. NCBI's taxonomy places the organism in Eukaryota, Metazoa, Chordata, Mammalia, Artiodactyla, Balaenopteridae. The transcript is spliced from 3 exons.
GCCGCACCCUCGCCCGCUGCCGACCCAGGGGCUCCUGCCCCCGCGGGGGAGGCUCGGCGCCGGGCGAGCGGAGGCGGGGGACGGUGUGGGCGCGAGGCCGGGCGCGCGUGGGGGCUUGCGAGCGGGGGAGUGGGUGCCGUGACUGAAAGCGCUGGGCGGGCGCGCGCACGUGAGGGGGCGGGUCUGUGCCUGUGCCGGGGCGGGGGGCCCCGUGUGUGCGAUCUGCGCCCGGGGCGGGGUGCAGGGCUGUGCUUGGAACGGACGGCUUCCGGGGCCGGGCCCCACCUGGCGGGGCGCCGGCAGUCGUCGGGCUGCCUGUGCGGUGGCCGAGGCAGAGUGCCGGGGCUGUCUCACCCCAAAGGUGGAGGGUGGGUGCCGGGAGGGCGCUAGACGCCGCAGGGCCCCGCGGCUGAGUUCCGGGCAGCGGCUGCUUCCCGGAAGCCCCGGCCACCCGGCAGCCUAGGAGCAGAAUGGAGAUUCCGAUUCAGGCUCUCACCUUUAAGUCCCUGAUCCUCAUUUUGACGUAUGUGGCCCAGCUGCAGUCUGACUCUCGCAGAACGCUGUCGGGACAAGGGCUUUGCGGCCGGAGAUCAAGAAAUCUGGCUUCCAGACCCUGCCAGCCAGCCGCUGAGAAACCUGGGCGCGUUCGCCCCGUGCUGUCUUGGCCUCAGGGUCCUGGCUGGUGAGUCGGGGGCCGGCCGGGUGGUCUCCAGGGGCCAGCAGCGCCGCAGCUCCCCCGCUCCCCAGCCGGGCAGGCGCUGGAGGCCCCCUGCCUUCUCCAGGCUCCCGUGCAGAGCCCUGCCCUCCAGCCCCCCUGCCAUCUGCCAGCACAGUGCUGGGCUCCGACGGGGAGGCCGCCAGGGGGACGCAACAAGGAAGGGGUUCCCGAGAGACAGGUGGGGGCCACGGUCCAGUCUCGGGAGCUGGCUUCCCCCAGUCGGCAUCCACAUGGUGUUGGUGAGGCCCGGUGCGGGGGUGGACAGUCCCAGCCCUCGGAGCUCUCCCAAAGCUUCGCCAGCCUCACCUCAGCCGGGGCAGUCGGGGCGGCCUCGGGGGCGGGGCUCCCGGCCGAGUGAGCCCUGCCAGGCCUCAGGGUUCAGCCCCAAUCUCAGACACACGUCUUCAGGGCCCCGAAUUUGUGAGGAACCCCUUGGGAGUCAUGCGGGGAGGCCGUUAGCUGAGUGGGUUGCCAGCCUCUCACCCUCAACCCCUUCCUUCUAUCCUGAGUCGCUCUAACCUGUCUGUCUUGCACCUUGGAUGUUCUUUUACUGUUCCCUUUCAGGAAGGGAUUUGUCAGCGAAAACAAAAUUUUAAAUUCCGAACCCCUCUACCAACCCAACUAUGAAGUGGGCUAAUAGAAGCACUUGGGACCGUUUUGAGGAUGAGAUGAAUCAAUACAUGGAAAACACUUCGCAUUUAAAGACACGUGAGAUAUCAGUGCUACCACAGUGGGGAAAGCAAAGCUUCCAGAGGGGAGGGGCCGGCUGGCAACUCCACAGGGAGAUGGCGGCCGAGCCCGGGCCCCUGGACCCUGUAGGGACAGGCAGGAGCCCUGUGCCAGAUGACCUCAGGGCCUUUGCUGCCAGCGUUGCGGCAGAGAGGGGAGUUUGGAGGGUGUUUUCUCCUCUGCAGCUGCUCAGGACAGGCGUCUGGUUCUCCUCAUCCAGGAGGGGGAUCGUGCCGUGGCCCCUCACCAUCUGGUGUGUCCUUGCUGCCCCCUCCUGAGAGAGGCCGGAGCCCGCUUCCGGGUGUGAGGUGGAGUCACAGGGAAAGGGCCGCUGUCUGCCGCCCCCUUGGCCAGCUUUCCUGGGCCCCCAGGCCUGGACCCUCGGUUCUGUAUGUGGACCCCUCUCCUUUGCUGUUUUCCCUAAUGUGGUCAGCCUCUCGGGGACCUGCUCUUGUCCUUUUUUUUUUUUGGCCGUGCCACGAGGCGUGCUGGAUCCUAGUUCCCUGACCAGGGAUCGAACCCAGGCCCCCUGCAGUGGAAGCACGGAGUCCUAACCACUGGACCGCCAGGGAAUUCUCUGCCCUUGUCUUCAUGUUGACCGUUAAAGCUAACAGAUUGUUUGCUCUGUGCCAGGUGCUGACGACCCAGCCACCCGUGAGGUUGGCACACACCCCAGAGCGUAAAGGCUUUCAUUUACAGAGCGCGUGUGUGUGUGUCCAUGCCCGGGUCCCCCGGCGCAGGCCUGCCAUGCUGAGUCAGCGUGGGGGCCCGAGAUGUGUCCGCAUCCCACCACCUCCCCCCUGCUCAGCAUCCUCAGCUGCCCUGGGAGGCCGCCCCGAGCCUGCUCUGGCCCCCUUGUGGUCCCCUGCCAGCCUCCCGCCCUUCCCCGGAGCGUGCCGUGCUGCUCUCUCAGUCCUCAGGGCUGGCCCGCUGCCCCAGCGCCCUCCCUCCUGGCCCCCCAAGACCCAGGGCUUCAGGCCCGGGACAAGCUUCUCAACCCCUGCUGGACUGAGACCCUCCGCUGACCUCCCUUCACACCGGGGCCUUGGUUCCUGGGGGACUCCGUUCACUGGAUUGAGUCUGUGUGCCCAUCUUUCUGCUCCUGAGAUUGGAGUUUGGACCCCUGGCCAGCACUUAGGUCAUAGCGAGUGCUUACGGAGUGCUGGUGAGUGACUGAGUGAGCUCAUUUGCGCCUGCUCAGGACGGGGUUUCUCCGGCCGGGGAUCAGCUCUGAGCACGCGGGGCCGGGAGCCAGGCCCAGUCCCCAGGCCAGCAUCGCGGGCCCUGUGCCAUCCCCUGCCGGGCCAGGGCCAGCUGACUUCAGAGAACUCACGUAUUCGCUCUCAGUUUCCAGUUGUGGCCGGCACAGCUUGCUGCAAACGUCGCAGCUUACAACAGUGCCUGUGAGUCGGGAGUCUGGGCGUUGGGCGCUCAGCGGCUUCCCUGCUUUGAGUCUCACAGGCCGGAAUCGAGGGCUGCGGUCCCUUCUGGAGGCUCUGGUGGGAAUCGGCCUCCAGGUUCAUUUAGCUUCUCUGAGUUCAUUUCCCUGGAAUUGUGGGACUGAGGUUCCCAUUCCCUUGCCAGCCGUCAGCUGAGGAUGGCUCUCAGCCUCCCACAUUCCUGGUCGGUGACCCCUUCACAGCCACCGACGUUGGGUUGAGUCUUCCCACUGUUGAAUCUCUCCGGCUCAGCCUCCUGCGGCCUCUCUGCUGCCUGCCUUUUCUGUUUUUAAGGACUCGUGUGAUUGCGUUGGGCCCAGCUAGAUGGUCAGUCCCCCUGCCCCGACCCUGAGCAGCUGGGACUAGGGCAGGAGUCUGGGUGGGACCACGGUCCCCUGGCCCCAGGAAGCAGGAUCCCCCCGCUGAAUGUCCUCCAAGUAGGUGGCUGGGGCAGCGGGGUGACCUGGACAGAGAGCCCAGGGACAUCUUCCCUUUCAGGCCCGUUUGGAUUUGCUUACAUUGGCUUCUUCACAAGGAGGCCGCAGCCCACCUGGCCCUUCGUGUCACCCUCGGCGCCUCAGUGCCCCUUGUCCCCCAUCCCCCAAGCUAGCGUGCAAAUCCUGGCGCUGAUGUCCCCAAGCUCCGUGACCUUGGCAAGCAGCCCAGCCUCCGGCCCCCAUCUGUGACAUGGAGAUAACCUCACAAAAUUGUGAGCGUAAACCAAACAAUGUGCUCACUGAUCCUGCCCCGUGGGCGGCUGUCGUUUCUGUCUUGGCCGUAAAGGAGGCGUCCCUGCUUCGGGAAGCCUGUCCUCCCUGCCGUGCAGUCAGUCCCGGGGCUCACAGCACUCUCCUUGCUCGCCCAGCUGUCCCUGGCCGCAUCUCCCAAGGGCAGGGCCCCGUCUUUCAUGUCCGUAUCUGCAGUUUCUAGCACAGGCCUGUACACAGUAAACGUGUCCAGGAAAGCACAGGCGGGCAGGAAGGACGCAGCUGACGCGGCAUCUUUUCCACGUGCUGAGCGGCGGGCCAGAACAGCUUGUGAGCCCAGAGGUGCUGGCUUUGCAGGGAGGAGUCUGGGCUCCCACGAGGACGCCCUGGAGCAGCCCAGCCCCUCGUACCUGCGCCGGGCUCAGUAUUUCAAAGCUCUGUGUCAUCUGAAGCUCAUGUGGUGGCAGAGGUGCGACUCUCAUUUCACAGGUGGGGAAACUAGACGCGACCACAGUCUUCUGCUGAACUUGCGGCUGCAGACUUUCUUCUGAGCCCUGCUGUUGGCCCGGCUGGUAGCUCGGCCUGUGCGGUAGCUCAGUCCGGUGAGAAUGGCCCCGCUGAAGACCCAGACUCUGGUUGGGACCCCUGGAGACUUAGGCUCACGUUUUAGCAGCUUUUCCUCAACUAGUGUAUUCAUUUAAGAAAUACGUAUCGAGCAUCUGCCCCGUGCCCUGGGCCCCGUCCUGACAUGGGAUACAGCAUUGCUCAGCUCCGACCGCUUCUCCCAUGCAGGUCCCUUCCCAGUUCAGGAGUCACCUCCUCCAAGAAGCCCUCCCUGACCAGCCCCUCCUUAACGUACAUCACCCUGUUCUGUUUCUCCUGUUUCCUAUAUGGUCACUAAAUACAUGCUCACUUUAGGAACAUCCGGAAAAUGAAGAGUUGUUUAGAGAGAGAAAAAACUCUGGUCUUACUUCACUAUCUACAGAAAAUCCAUGUUAACAUUUUAGUGUAGUUCUUUCCAGGUGGUCACCUCUGCAAAGACAUGUCAUUAUCCACAUGCCAUUUUAUUCUGCUUUUUGGUUUAACACGAAUUCUGUGACUCACUUAUUUGCACGUCUCUGGAUCAUGCACUGAACAAUUGAUGGUGUCUUACAGGCGCUGUCAGCCUGUGUUGAAACCCAGCUCUUCCAAAGGGGUCCUGUUUGCUUCUGACGGUCACCUGGGGGCACUGCCAACUCCAGAAGACUUUGCAUUAAAUUUCAAAUAAAUUCGGUUACAACAUUUGCUCGAGGUGUUUUCAGACCACGUCUGUAGCGCAAACUCAGACUCCAGCCUGCGUGAGUCCUGGCUUGUUCUUGGUGUGUUCCCUCCCCACACCCGGGGCCGAGGUCGACACGCCAUUUCCGUCUGACAGGGCUGUUUAUCAUUCCCCUUCCGUGCAGGGAAUAGCCCCUUGGAGUCCCAGCUUUACUUACAUGCCUCGUACUAGCUACCCCAUCCUGGGAAUUCUUUUUCCUUCGUGGUGCAUGAGACAGCGAUGUGUCUUAUAAUCAACGGUGUCUUCAGUGUGAUGAAAUGCCGUAAAGAGAAACGUGUCUCAGAGUCCCGUAAACACGUCUUUAUGAGCGUCUAUUUAACGGCUGCACAUUACCUCCCAGGGUUGCCUGCCGUCCUCGCUGUGUCUUGGCGUAAUUUCUGUUCUUUUCUGUGGUCUUUCUUACUCCACACAGCUUCCUCUGCACUCAGAUGAUUUCUUUCGGGUAAUUCCUGGAAAUCGAAUUGCCAGACUGAAGAAAUGAAUAUUCCAAAGACCCUUAACACAUAAAGUCUAGUGUUUUUGGAGGCUGAUGUUUUUUUCUUUCUUCUGAGUCAUCUUUGCAGAAACAGAGUUGGUGCGAAUCUGCCUAUACUGGCAGCAGCUGGCCGAGUGCUUUCGGGCUGGGAAACUCCACAAAGGUGAAGAAUUAACGUUAACGAGUUUGCACGUGUUGUCUGAGCCUUCUCCAGUCUCAUGUACGCUAUUAAUUUACUUGGCCAAAGAGUCCUCUGUGGUGCUGAGAUAACCCUCACUCCUGCUCUCACCUGGAUUUGUCGACCAAAGCCAAGCGCCCGCCCUGCCCUUCAAGGCCUGGUGGACCAGCCUCCGCCUGUCUCUCUGGCCUCAUCUGACCGCUUGGCCCGCGGCUGCCUCUGGGGCGUCGUGGGCUUGAGUGCCUGCGCAGAUGCCUGCCCGGGGGACGUGGCACUGAGCCUGGCCCCGCACACGAGCUUCAGGCCGUCCGCGCGUCCCCCCGCUGUGGUCGCCUCUGUGACUGGUACGUGCCAGGCCCGUGGCCUUGGCCCCAAGGACUGCUGACUCCGUCAUACAGGCAGAGGGCACGGACACAGCACACUGAGCCACCCAGAGAGCCGUCCAGAGGCCCCCGGGCUGAAAGGGACUAAAAGUCAGCUGAAAACGAGAGGAGAAGAAGCGCUGGGAGUACGCCGUAGGGUGAAGAUUGGGAGAUGGGGGCAGGAGGCUGGAACAGAGCCUGGAACUAGACCGAUGCUGAGACGCCCCUGCGGCGGUGAUCCCCAAACUUCCCAGCACCAGGGACCGGUUUCGUGGAAGACAGUUUUUCCACGGUGAGGCGGUGCACGGGUGGUUCAGGCAGUGAUGCGAGCCAUGGGGAGCGAUGGGGAGCGGCAAGUGAAGCUUCGCCCGCCCGCCCGCCCGCCGCUCACCGCCUGCUGUGCCGCCCGGCUGCUAACAGGCCAUGGACCGGUACCGGUCCGCGGCCCGGAGGUCGGGGACCCACCUCGCCGGGGUAUUUCAGGUGAGUCACGGAAGGGACCGCCUGGAUUCAAAUCCCAGCUCUGUCAUUUAACCAGAUGACCCAGCGCCUGUGAGGCUCGGUUUUCUCUGUGAGGUGGGGAUGGUAAUGUUGGCCUCAUGGGAUGGAGGUGGGAUGACCGAGGUGUAGGGCUGGCACUGCCGGUCAAUGACCAGUAUCUGUACACACUCCCCUACUUCCUCUCUCACUUAAAGGAGAACUUCAGUUCUGUUAGUUAAAUAACUAACCCAGAUGACUGGCAACUAAGUCACUUCUCCACCCUGGGCCCAGGUCUGCUUUACCAGUUAAGGGGCCAGGGCAGGACAGAAGUCUUCAAAUUCAGGUCCCAACGCAGCACUGCUGGCUAAAGAGGCAGUUACCUGGACCUCAACCCAGACUCCCCAGAUCAGAGUCCUUGGGGGUAGCACCUGGAAUCCAAACUUUGUUAAAGCUCCCCAGAUGAUUCCAGCGUGCAGCAGGCUCUCAGAACCCUCAGCCCAGUGGCCCCUGAAACGCCGUCUUAGCCCUGAGGGCCUGUGUUUCUCUUCCCACCAAAUGCCCCGUGCCGCCUCUGUGGGGGUCUGGCGUCCGUGCAUCUGGUCCAGAGUUCACCUCCUGCUUUCAUCAGAGAUGGGACACUUCCCCUGCUGCUGACUCAGGUGAUGAGACCCCGAGGUGGGACCACUGAGUCUAGGACUAAAUCUGUAGCCCCGCCCAGUGCCCGGCCCUGGAGGUGGUUCGAGGAGAGGAAAGAGCCAACCUCUGAGCCCGGGGCUGCCUUCUCACCACGAAAUAUCUGAAUCUAAACGGAAAAUAUACAUCUUUAAGGCUGGAGAUGCAUUACAGAAUCAGAACCGAGUCCAAGCAAUCCCUUCCUUCUCGUGUAGCAAAGAAAAUGAAAUUCUGCAGAGUUCCUGCUGGUCUUAGAUUUUUCUCUUUUAAGAACAUAAAAAUUACUUACCGUCGCUGAGGUUCGUUCCAAGUUGCCCCUAACAGCUGUAAACUUCCCGGCUUUAUCUAGGGAGCCCUCAGGGCGGUGAAUUACUGUUCACGUAAUGAAUUCCUAUUGCAAAUCCAGCAUUAGCAGAUUUCCCCCAUGAAGACAGAUAAUUUCUUGAACUCCAAGUGCUUUUAUGGAGCAGGGGGUUGAGGGAAAGAGGUUUUACUUUACAGUCUCUAAGUGGAUGAUUUAAAAAAGCUCAGUAAAAUGGUUUUACUGGCCAUCAGGGCCACCACAACAGAUGUAUCCGCAAAGGAAACGCCAUCAAUUACACGGUUGGGGUGCUGGGGUGUGUGGGGAGCGGAGGUACGAAGAACACCUAGGGUGUCUUUUUUAAUUAACAAAAAAUAUGAACGCAUUUGGAAGUAAAUAGAAGGCCCAGUUUUCCCCUUUUGGGCUGAGAGGGUCUUCGGGGGCGAGAGGCAGGAAAACAGUUUUCACCGUUGAAUAUGAUAACGAUGACCAUGGCAGUGACAGAGUAAGAAGAACUGAGGUUUAUUCGCAUGGGGAGUGGGGGUGCCCACAUUCCGGGCGGACACUGACCGAGUGUCUGACCGAGGCCCCGGCCGGGCUGUGCACCCGGGGUCCCUGCCCUUCGCUGCCCUGUCUGCACAGUAGCGCAGGGGGAAGACGGAGCGCCGUCCACGCUAGUGCUAAGUCGGACACACAGCCAGGAAAAGCCCAGAGGGUUUCUGCCAAACAGCUGAUGAGAAGUUGGUUGGUUGUUUGUUUUUCUUUCCUGCCAUUUUAUUACAGUGAAGUUUAACAGCAGAGAAAAGUCACAUGACCUUGGUGGAUCGAGAAGUUGGCUUUAAAGAAUCAUUUCCUAAAUAAUCAGUUUCUCACCAUUAAAAAAAAGUAUGUUUUGACCUCGGGCGAAUACAGAGGGCUGUGGAUGAGAACCUCUUUUCUGACAUAAUAAUACAGGCAGUGCCGGGGGGUGGGAUUUUGGAAAGAUGCUGGGAGGGGUCCUUGCCCCUCCCCCAGGGCCCCGGGUACUGGGAGGUCACGGCUGCCAGGAGCAGCGAGUUGGGUGAGGUUAGUGGCCGGGCAGGCACGGAGAGCUGGUUUUUCUCCUUUUCUUGUGAGCUUGGUCGGAACGUGAAAUUCCCGUGUCUGUCCUGGAUAGCGCAGAUCCAAGCAGCAGACUCUGCCGGCUUCCCGUGAGCGAGGUUCCCCAUCUUCCAGUGGAGAAGUCUGGAUGGAAUAACCCCUUCGUUUCCACCUGAACACGGGGACCAGAGGAGGUGGGGCGGGGAGAACAGGGCCUCAGAGCCGGGCUGGGCCGGCCUCUCAGCACACGGAGCAGGCCUUGGCAUCAAGCUGCGUCUCCUCCUCCCGGAAAGCAAACACCCUCAGCAGGGCUGGCGAAGGGCACGGUCUGGGGCCCUGCUUCUUCCAGCUCCUUGGCCUGCCGUUGUGUGGUCCAUGCGCUUGUCCCGCCCCGCCCCGUCUGCUGGCCCGGCUGCUUCCCGGCCUAGUGCCCUUGGGGCAGCUUCUCUCUGGGAGGUAGCGCUGUGAGCCUAAGGCUGGGUUUUCUGUGGGGCGGCCCUGGUCCGCAUCCCACGUUUGCUGCUCACUGGCUGCAAGACCUCAGGCACACAGCUCGGUCAUCGCACCUCUGUUCUCUUUACUGUUAGAUGGGGCGAUGCUAGGACCCAGGAGGGCAGCUGUGGGACUGGCGGAGGGCAGGCUUGCGAAGCGCUGGGCCAGUCCUGGCGUGUGGGAAGCCAUGCCAAGGACUGUCGGCCGCCCUUCUGUUUAGAAAGCAGUCGUGCCGUCUUCAGCCUCCAUCCACGGAUUCCCUUGGACAGAGUCCGGGGCGCGCUGGCUGCCGGCUGCAAUGCUUCCACUCCAGUCUGAUCCCUUUCUCUCUUGGAUUAGAAAGAGGUCUUGUAGAAGCUGUGUGCUGACCUCUGUCAAGGUCAGCAUUUUGUAUGCAGCUUUGGAGAAGGGAGUGGGAUUUUAUUGCCUCUUUGGUGGGAAAAAUUACGUAUUGUUUGGGUCCGUGCUAAACCCUGACGCCGUUGUGCGAUGGGGACACUUCUGCAGCGGUGGAUCCACCAGGGGGGCGGUGUGGGUGUGUGUGCAUGCUCACGCGCGGGGUUAUCUUUUGUCCUCAGAGCCAGGACCCUGUCUCUAGGUGGCAUUGGAGAGGGUGGGGGGUCGGGGUGCCCAUGUCCCCACCCCUAAGGCUGGAUUCAAGCUUUUGUUUUUUUUAAUUUAUUUUAUUGAAGUGUAGUUGAUUUACAGUGUCGUGUUAAUUUCUGCUACACAGCAAAGUGAUUCAGUUACACAUAUAUAUACAUUCUUUUUCAUGUUCUUUUCCAUGAUGGUUUAUCACAGAAUAUUGAAUAAAGGUCCCUGUGCUCUA